Molecule: long non-coding RNA, 1976 nt
Organism: Dicentrarchus labrax (European seabass)
Lineage: Eukaryota; Metazoa; Chordata; Actinopteri; Moronidae
Source: Ensembl
AUGGAUGCAACUUUAUACCCUUUUACAAAGCAAAAAGGGGCAAACAAAGAGGAUGAGGGAAGGGGAUAUCCUCCUCUUCACAUUGUUGUAUUUACCGUUUACAGACAGGAUGUCAGUCAAACAGCUACAGUCAUUGUUGAAGUCACCCUUUGUGCACUUGUUUUACUUGACAUUAGAGCAGCUGAUAAAUCAGUCUUCAGUGUUAAAGCACGAAACUACAACAUCUCCCAGCUGAAUAGUUACCAGAGCAUGUCUUUCUUUUCCCAAACAGAUUCCAGCAAACACUCAGGGAGAUGCUGGACCUCAGUGGUGUCUACAUCUGCAACAGCUCCUGUCCCCGCUCCUUUCGUAGCGGCUGUUUUGAACUCAGUCUUACUCCUUCCUGCAGACAUCCGUCACAUCUUCCAGCCAUCCUCCUCGCCUGAAUAACUGAUGACAGUACGAAUUUGGUCUCUGUGCAGCUCAUAAGACUCAGUGAAAGCUUUUUAAACUCACCCAUAUUCCUGAUUAUCUGGUAUUACAGAGUGUUAAAUAGAGGUAGUAUGAGAAAAUAUCCAGAGUUGCAUGCUGGACCACAUGGAAACAUUAAGAGUUGCAUUGUGGCCUGCCUAUUUGAGAGGGGGAUUCAUGUGUGUUAAGUUUUGUUAUGGAUUAUAACACCCUACUUUAGAGAGUCACCUAAAUGCAUAAUACAUAUAUAAAUGUAUUCAGCCUCAGAUGUCGACAAGUAAGGUAGUUUUUUGAAAAUGCUCUCAUGUUGGAUGAAUUUAGAAUUAAUUUAGAAUGUGCAGUCUAUGCAGUGCUUGUUCUUCUCCUUUGCAGCAGCCUGGGUGGGUCAUCAAAGCAGACUGCACCUAAGAGAUGUGCACGGCUUUAGCUGUGUAAGGCCUGUUUGGGCAUCUGAGCACUGGACUUAGGCCUUAAAACAACACUAACACACCUAUACCUUUACUCUUCUAGACAUGCCGUAAAGUAUGGUCACAUAGCAUUUCAGUUCAGUGACACUGCCCAGAAGCAAGACAUAAUGUCACCGCUCUGAUGUGGUUAAUAACUGUAAACAGUGUAUAUUGUAGUUUAUAGUCUGGUUGCGUAAUAUUGCACUAAAGUGGGUGAUUUCCAAACACAGUAAAUCAGUGUUUCUCUUGGCCAAAUGAGCAAAUGAAUUGGUCAAAGUUGAACAAAGGGGAACUCUGAGCUGUGAGUCCGCCGGUCGCACUGAAACAGGAAACAUGCUUGAAUUUGUUCGUCAUUCUGGCUUUAAAAGAAAUUAAUGCGUGAAUAUUCUUGGGAUGGAAAUGUAAUGUGACCAUAGCUUUAAAUACUGAUUCUUUUCACAUUUCCACAGCUCAUGUUAUUUUCCUUUGUUUAACUUGGUACAUUUAAUUGGUAUUUAUAACCCUUGUGUGUGCGUAGAAGAAUGUUAACAACAUUAGAAUGCUGGAUUCUGAUUGUUACACAUAUUGUUACAUUAUUACAACCUUUCACGGAUAUGGUUGAAUUUUUCUUCCUGUCAUACUUUACCAGACAUCAACAAACCAACAGGCGGAAUGUGAAGGACAGUGGUAGAUAGAGGAAAAUAUUGUAAAACGUAGGGGCCCUCUGAGCUGACAAUGAUCCACAUGGUGUACCAAAUGUGGCCAGAAUUUGAGAGACUGUUCUGACUAUAAAAACUGAAAUAGUUGUUUAUUCAGUUUUGAAUAACAAAAAUGACUACUAACCGUCCUUUUAUUUAGAAGCAAAGGUGAAAGUCAGGUGAGUAGGAUGAUGAAUCUUUUACGGAAUAGUUGUAUGGUUUGUUUUGUAAGGCAGGAUAAGACAAAUGGGCUUUUUCAACACUUAGUCAUAAGGACUUGUUGGAAAUUGAGCUUCCUGACACAUAUAUGUUUAUAUAUGCGGUCACACAUAACAACAUCAGUGAACAAAGCCUGAAGGUGUCUGAACAUCUGGUCCUAUUUUAAAGUAAUUUGUCAGCCUGA